AGUCAUCAACUCCUUACCUUUUUUCUGAAAGGGGUCAAGGGUGUUGGAUCUGGGGUUGUGCUGCCGUGAGGCGGCUCCCCCUAAAUGUGUUGGUUGGGCCUCGGGUCAAACUCGUCUGGGCGUUGUACCAUCCUCGCUCUCUCGUUGGCCAUGUGCACCCUCCCUCGACCUGCCCCUGCUGGCGGUCAAAACCUUUGAA
RNAcentral lists this unclassified non-coding RNA (199 nucleotides) under uncultured Agaricomycetes. RNAcentral's name for it is "sequence contains ITS2". The record is from RNAcentral. Lineage: Eukaryota; Fungi; Basidiomycota; Agaricomycetes.